AGAUGAGGUGGCUGUGGUGGUAGUGGUGUCAGGAGUGGCGACUCUGAGGGGGGUGUAGUAGCAGAAGUAGUAGUAGUAGUGUGGUGGUGGUUAUAGAGGUGUGGUGGGAGCUAGAGAGUCAAGGUGGGAGCUAUCGUCACGUUCACUGCUGUCGUGUUCCCUAAACAAGGCACUGGAGCUUCCUUUCCCCCAUUCACAUAUUGGUAGCCCAGGGAUGUUGCUGACGAGAUCAAGUACUCUCACACACACCUAACACAAGAGACAGCAAAUAUAGACAUGUAUUUUUUUUCUAAUCAGAAACAAGGUUGAGAAAACUUACAAAUGAAUUGCAGAUAUAGUCAAUGUCAUACGUAAUAGUGUCAACAUGUUUUCGAAAACUGACCGUCUUCCCACGAUGCCUGAACCGGUAGUGUAACCAUGACAUUAACAUCCUGGGUAUAUCCACAGCACAGGUUAGAAUCAUAAUAGAUACACAGCCAAGUGACAAUCACUUGGGAGAGCUCUCAUGUGAUUCCAGAUGAUGUUAUCGUCUCUGGGUACAUCCACAACAGAAUUUAGAAGCAUAAUAGAUGAAAACGAUAUGGUGGAAUUUACCACGAUUAGAUCUCGGGUGAUUACAGAUGAUGUCACAGUGUUUGGAAAUUAACAACUGAUUCUUUCAUAAUGGCUAACAAAGUUUACAAUAAGGAAAAUAAGGAGGGUGAAGAUAAUAAUGACAGCACUGGUACUGGUGAUAACAACAAUGUUAGUGAUGAUGAUAUCAAUAUCACUGAUAAACUUCAAUUCUUUGAAAAAUGAGUUGUUGAUAAAAUAAAGUUCCAACCUAGAAAGUGGAGUUGAUGGCAUCACCUAACCCCUUUCCCCUCAAAAUUGCUAACCUUGUGCCUGAAUAAAAAAUGUCUUCCGUU
Octopus bimaculoides (California two-spot octopus) is the source of this 908-nucleotide long non-coding RNA. RefSeq lists it as uncharacterized. NCBI's taxonomy places the organism in Eukaryota, Metazoa, Mollusca, Cephalopoda, Octopoda, Octopodidae. The record is from RefSeq and is a predicted model, not a curated record.